UGGGGAAUCUUAGACAAUGGGGGAAACCCUGAUCUAGCCAUGCCGCGUGAGUGAUGAAGGCCCUAGGGUCGUAAAGCUCUUUCGCCAGGGAUGAUAAUGACAGUACCUGGUAAAGAAACCCCGGCUAACUCCGUGCCAGCAGCCGCGGUAAUACGGAGGGGGUUAGCGUUGUUCGGAAUUACUGGGCGUAAAGCGCGCGUAGGCGGGCUGUUAAGUCGGGGGUGAAAUCCCGGGGCUCAACCCCGGAACUGCCUCGGAUACUGGCAGUCUAGAGUUCGAGAGAGGUGAGUGGAGUUCCGAGUGUAGAGGUGAAAUUCGUAGAUAUUCGGAGGAACACCAGUGGCGAAGGCGGCUCACUGGCUCGAAACUGACGCUGAGGUGCGAAAGUGUGGGGAGCAAACAGGAUUAGAUACCCCCGUAGUCC
This 424-nucleotide ribosomal RNA is filed under the name uncultured prokaryote. Its description in RNAcentral is "bacterial SSU rRNA". It matches the Rfam family "Bacterial small subunit ribosomal RNA", at positions 355 to 796 of the family's 1533-position model. The record is from RNAcentral.